Molecule: transfer RNA, 71 nt
Filed under: Chelonia mydas (Green sea turtle)
Lineage: Eukaryota; Metazoa; Chordata; Testudines; Cheloniidae
Rfam family: tRNA
About the family: Transfer RNA (tRNA) molecules are approximately 80 nucleotides in length. Their secondary structure includes four short double-helical elements and three loops (D, anti-codon, and T loops).
Source: Rfam by way of RNAcentral
GGCAGUGUGGCCUAGUGGGUAGAGCACUGGACUGAGACUCAGGAGACCUGGGUCUAUUCCCAGCUGUGCCA